CGGGACGGGUGAGUAAUGUCUGAGAAACUGCCUGAUGGAGGGGGAUAACUACUGGAAACGGUAGCUAAUACCGCAUAACGUCGCAAGACCAAAGAGGGGGACCUUAGGGCCUCUUGCCAUCGGAUGUGCCCAGAUGGGAUUAGCUUGUUGGUGGGGUAACGGCUCACCAAGGCGACGAUCCCUAGCUGGUCUGAGAGGAUGACCAGCCACACUGGAACUGAGACACGGUCCAG
RNAcentral lists this ribosomal RNA (233 nucleotides) under uncultured bacterium. RNAcentral's name for it is "partial 16S ribosomal RNA". It matches the Rfam family "Bacterial small subunit ribosomal RNA", at positions 100 to 334 of the family's 1533-position model. The record is from RNAcentral.